Non-coding RNA from Oryza sativa Japonica Group (Japanese rice), 665 nucleotides. Lineage: Eukaryota; Viridiplantae; Streptophyta; Magnoliopsida; Poales; Poaceae. The record is from RefSeq and is a predicted model, not a curated record.
AUUGCCGCCGCUGCCAUAGACCAUCCCGAGAUAACCAUACCCCAUCCCGCCGGCACCGGCGCCGCCACCGCCUCCGCCGCCGGUUCCAACUCCGGCGUAGUUGACGCCGGCGUACGCCGCCGCCUCGCCGUUGUCCCUGCCAGAUCAAAUCUCCAAAAACAUUAGCAAACUAUCUUAUAUUCUCUUCUCAUGUACUACCAUGAGAGAGCUAGUAGCUGCCAGUAUGUCAUUAGCAAAACUGGCACAAGUUGUAGCAAAAACUUUCAAGUGAAACUGUACUUAAGGUGAGAUCUACUACUGCUGUCUGUCACAAGUGCAUAUGCACGCUGCAGAAUAAGGAAUUGGAUGCCGAGGAACAUGGGUCUUCUCCUGCAGAGUGAUGGACAGAACGACAAAAAGUGCACGCCAUUUUCUAAUGGAUCGUUGCAAAUGGACCCUCAACGUUCUCUUCUUGCUUGGCUCCAUCCGAAAAGGUCAUCGCAUUGCAAUAUGGAUUCGGCGACAAAACGAAGGGGUCAGUGGCGAGCAAGUGGAGAAGAAGAAGGCAAUGCAUGGUGAGUGAUUGCCGGCCUACCGUGAUCCCUGGGUUAUGCAAUCGAUGGAUAUAGCACGCAUGUUGCUGAGCAUGCGACGAUCUUUUCGAUCCCGGCUACUUUUGGCAUCGA